UACGGCAGCGGGGUAGUGCUNNNACUACUGUCCGGCGAGUGGCGAACGGGUGAGUAAUAUAUCGGAACGUACCGAGUAAUGGGGGAUAACCAAUCGAAAGAUUGGCUAAUACCGCAUACGUCCUACGGGAGAAAGCGGGGGAUCGCAAGACCUCGCGUUAUUCGAGCGGCCGAUAACUGAUUAGCUAGUUGGUGGGGUAAAGGCCUACCAAGGCGACGAUCAGUAGCGGGUCUGAGAGGACGAUCCGCCACACUGGGACUGAGACACGGCCCAGACUCCUACGGGAGGCAGCAGUGGGGANUUUUGNACANUGGGNGCACCCCUGANCCAGCCAUGCCGCGUGUAUGAAGGAGGNCCUUCGGGUUGUAAAGUACUUUUGUUAG
Molecule: ribosomal RNA, 383 nt
Filed under: Eikenella corrodens
Lineage: Bacteria; Pseudomonadati; Pseudomonadota; Betaproteobacteria; Neisseriales; Neisseriaceae
Description: partial 16S ribosomal RNA
Rfam family: Bacterial small subunit ribosomal RNA
Source: RNAcentral